This 721-nucleotide ribosomal RNA is filed under the name uncultured soil bacterium. RNAcentral describes it as "bacterial SSU rRNA". It matches the Rfam family "Bacterial small subunit ribosomal RNA", at positions 40 to 760 of the family's 1533-position model. The record is from RNAcentral.
CGGCGUGCCUUACACAUGCAAGUCGAGCGAGGCGGCCCGCAAGGGUCAGUCGAGCGGCGAACGGGUGAGUAACGCGUGGAUAACCUGCCCUGAGAUGGGGAAUAACCCGGGGAAACUCGGGCUAAUACCGCAUAUGACCGAGAGGUCAAAGGCGGCUCGCAAGAGCUGUCGUCUGAGGAGGGGUCCGCGUCCGAUUAGCUAGUUGGUAGGGUAAUGGCCUACCAAGGCGACGAUCGGUAGCCGGCCUGAGAGGGUGAUCGGCCACACUGGAACUGAGACACGGACCAGACUCCUACGGGGGCAGCAGUGGGGAAUAUUGGGCAAUGGGCGAAAGCCUGACCCAGCGACGCCGCGUGGGUGAUGAAGGCCUUCGGGUCGUAAAGCCCUGUCAGGAGGAAAGAACGAUCUUGUGGUGAAUACCCACAAGAUGUGACGGUACCUCCGAAGGAAGCACCGGCCAAUUCCGUGCCAGCAGCCGCGGUAAGACGGAAGGUGCAAGCGUUGCUCGGAAUCACUGGGCGUAAAGGGUGCGUAGGCGGCUUCUUAAGUCUGGUGUGAAAGCCCAGGGCUCAGCUCUGGAAGUGCACUAGAUACUGGGAAGCUUGAGUACCGGAGGGGAGAGUGGAAUUCCUGGUGUAGCGGUGAAAUGCGUAGAUAUCAGGAGGAAUACCGGUGGCGAAAGCGACUCUCUGGACGGUUACUGACGCUGAGGCACGAAAGC